Molecule: ribosomal RNA, 446 nt
Filed under: uncultured bacterium
Lineage: Bacteria
Description: bacterial SSU rRNA
Rfam family: Bacterial small subunit ribosomal RNA
Source: RNAcentral
AUUGAACGCUGGCGGCAGGCCUAACACAUGCAAGUCGAGCGGGGUUUUCGGACCUAGCGGCGGACGGGUGAGUAAUGCGUAGGAAGCUACCCGAUAGAGGGGGAUACCAGUUGGAAACGACUGUUAAUACCGCAUAAUGUCUACGGACCAAAGUGUGGGACCUUCGGGCCACAUGCUAUCGGAUGCGCCUACGUGGGAUUAGCUAGUUGGUGAGGUAAUGGCUCACCAAGGCGACGAUCCGUAACUGGUCUGAGAGGAUGAUCAGUCACACUGGAACUGAGACACGGUCCAGACUCCUACGGGAGGCAGCAGUGGGGAAUAUUGGACAAUGGGCGAAAGCCUGAUCCAGCCAUGCCGCGUGUGUGAAGAAGGUCCUUCGGAUUGUAAAGCACUUUAAGUUGGGAGAAGGGUACCACUAGAAUAAGCACCGGCUAACUCCGUGCCAG